This is a long non-coding RNA of Clupea harengus (Atlantic herring), 1017 nucleotides long. NCBI's taxonomy places the organism in Eukaryota, Metazoa, Chordata, Actinopteri, Clupeiformes, Clupeidae. The record is from Ensembl.
AGAGACUAGCGGCGCACAUAAUGAAAUAAGGGAGGUGGAAACUAGCAAAAGAUCCCUACGUGGUCAGACCUGAAAAGAUGGACAUAUUCUUCAAAAACUGAAUCUUGAAAGGGUCUAAUUGGAUUCUUUACAUGCGCUACCGAUUACCCAGAAGCACAUGUGAGAAGAUGCGCAGAGAAAUGGUCUGCUACAGAAUAGCAAGCUAACGUUAGAUGCCUUUACUGAAAAAGGCGCAGUAUCUAGCAAUGCAGGCCGGCGAAUUGCCAUUAGCGAAGAAACCUAGUAGUAACAUUUAUGCACGAGCUUAUUAACGCAGAUAUAUUUUUAUCGCGCAGCCGAUUAUAUUGUAAAUACACCGGCUAAUCGAAUCGGCGGGUCAUCCAGCCAUUCUUUGGAGACACCGCGGUUAUCAGCGACGCAGGCCUGUUGGAAAGAGGCUCUGAAUACAUUGAGAUAUUCUACCGAAGCGAUGUUUUAUGCCGCCAGCAUAAUGUAACGGAAACUUUAUUAUUCACACUAGUAAGAGAAUCUCGAUUAUCGCAACUGAACGUCGCUGGGAAGACAAUAAGCUUGUUGGCAAUGCGACCGUCGUUAGGAUUUUAAUUUUUCAGGUUAUUGUUUGUUUUUCGAGGUUUUUGAAGGGAAAGCCACUUGUGUCCAACAAUCCCGACAUCUACGCUGUAGUCAGGAGAUCUAACAAACACUCAGUUAACCUCAUAGCCUGUGCAAUCACAUUGUCUUUUCGUUAAACUUGACGCCUGGAUCUGCUAUUGAGGACCAUGGAUCAGUAGGCAAUGUCGGAAUGAUUUUCACGAGAAAGACUAAGCCAGAGAUCUUGCGAUAGGCUACCAUGAGGAAGUGAAGUAGAUCGUGCAUGGUUCCUUAGUGUAAUCAGAAGUGGAGGACAACGGCACUCGAUUCGAAAGCCUGACGUCUCGUCCCCAAGUGAUAUCGAACAAGAUUGGAGUGUACAAGUGAAAGACACAUUCCUGCAAAGGCCAACCUACUUAUCCCGCC